Pogona vitticeps (central bearded dragon) is the source of this 2185-nucleotide non-coding RNA. The record is from RefSeq and is a predicted model, not a curated record. NCBI's taxonomy places the organism in Eukaryota, Metazoa, Chordata, Lepidosauria, Squamata, Agamidae.
CCUCCUCUCCUAGUGCCUGCAUGUUCGAACACUUUCAAUCAGUUUUGGAGCUGAUAUAGAUCAAAGAAAGGUGCAGAGAGUAUAAAGAAGCUCAAUGUAUGAAAUAUAUUUUCAGAAGAAUUGCCGCAACAUGUUGUUAAUAUGCUAAGAAGCUGGUGUAUUUCUAUACUAGGUAGUGCCUUACAAACUGAAAUGGAGAUACAACGCUGACAGAAGAUUACAUAACAUACAGUACAACAGUGUGAAUUGCUGUGUUUCUCCAACCUGUACUGAACAUAACCUUUCACAGAAAAUGUUUGUAAAGCAUUUAUCAUCUUGGGAUUUUGUUGUCUGGGAAUGCCCCUGUGGAUUUCCCCACCCCCAAACUGAGCGCCCUCUGAUUGCAGAGGAAAACUCAGAAAAAGGCUGUUUGCUUUAAAUACAUAAAAUGCUCCAAAGAAGACACUUUAUCACAGCAUGUCCGUCUGUGACCCUACCACACAAUGUUGACUGACUAAGAACUGGCAACAAUAAGAUAAGAAGAAAUUAGAAUACUUACACAACAAAAUUGUACAAUGAAGUCUUCUACCUUCUGCUUCACCUCUAGACAUAGAUAUAUACAUUCUGGAAUUCCAGUAGAAGGGCUUCAUAUUAAGAAUGUGUGGUUAGUGAAUAUCUUUAAGACAAAAUAGGUUGAGAUAGAAUCUAUCCCAAGUUGACUGGUCCGACAGAUGGACCAGUCAACUUCUGGUUUGCUGAACAUGGAGUCUAUUGUAAGUCUGUUUCUUCUAAUUUCUGCAUCAGUCUGGAAUUUUAAAGACAUCCACAAAUGUAACUAUACACGUCUAAAAUUUCUUGCUGUUGUAUGUUUUUGCAUGCACCUUUUCCUAAUGGAUGCACUUCUAUACACAGCUUGCCAACAACUCUAUUUUAUAGCCAAUUUUUGAGCCAAGAGUUGUGUAUAAGAAUGCAUUAUCUGAAAAUAAAUGCAUGUUAAUUUGAAGUACGAACAAGGCUGGUCAGCCAAAAAGACAGAGCAAACAAAAUUCUCUAUUUUAGUUUCUCAUUAAGAUUUUAGCUUCAGACCUCUCUCUUUCUAUGCCAAGAUCAUCAUAGCUACCAGCUUAUAUGGCAGAUUCUGAUAGCUAUAAUAGGACAUAUAUAGGACUUUUGUUGAAUGACAUCUUGAGCAGGUGGAAUAUAAAUCUGGUACCCUCAUCUAUAUGGGAGAAACACCCCACCCCCUGCUUUUUGCCACCUUGAUGAAAUGUGACAGGACCUUCUUCCCAUGUCCUUCCAAUCAGUGACACUUCUCCUUGCUUCAAUCUACCCUGCAGGCAGCUCAGCACUUCAGACAGUGCUGCAGUGGGGGCGAAAGAGGAAGACUCAAACCUAGUUUCAGCUAACUGGCUGACUCAGAAAUGAAAUUAAGAAAUAAGAACAACGGAUGACAUAUUUUUGGGAAAUUUCCUUACUCUGAUACUUAUCAUACUUGUUUAUUACUCUGCCUUAGCAGCUAUGCUUAGUCUGAGUAUAGUAAAGAUAAUAUUCAUUGAAGUUCACACCCAUCUUCUUCUUGAACUGGUCCUUAUGAAAUGGUUUGGUUGUCACCAUUCACUCAGAAACCAGAAGAUAAUUUCUACAUCAUGCAGAGCCUCCCUUUCAGUCUGGUGAACUACAAUCAUGAAUUAUUUCCUCAAAUAUGUUUUCAGCAUGACAACACUACUUUAUUUUAUAAGAUGUACUGAAGCUGAAAAACACAGCAGGGUCAACUGCAGUUAGCAGCUGUCCUAGGGAAACAGGAAGAAAGAGAAAGAAGUUCCGCAUGCACCAACAGUAACACCAAGUGCCAGGAAACAGUUAUCGAAGAUGAAAUACAAGUUUCCAUGGAAGAGACAGAAUGGUCCUCAUGGAGAAAAACUUUCAAAGCUCUCUAGUAGGAAAUAUUUCUAUCUUUAAUGAGGAUUAAAAGGCAUAGCAAGGAAUGAGUCCUUGGCCAUAUGUUUUAAAAAUAUGACUUGGAAAUUAAUAAACACACAGCUAUGGGAUUUGUGUAAUUCUACCAUGUAAGACUACUGGUUUUUAGUUAGCCUUUGUCAUUACUCUUCCACUUAUCCAAAUAGUUUAAAACAUUUUAAUUCAAUCUCAUAAAUCCACACACCACACUAUUUUCAACAACAAAUUAUGCAAGCUGAAAACAGGAAAA